AGAGAAAUACAGACGUGUUCGCGUCAGCCAUGGUGAAGCAGCGCAUGACAGCCCUCGAUGUGAGGGCAACGGUGGAGGAGAUGCGGGCAACGCUGAUUGGGCUGCGGCUGCUUAACAUCUACAACAUAGGCAACAAGAUGUUCCUCUUCAAGUUUGGACACGGCGAGAACAAGAAGAAUGUGCUUCUCGAGAGCGGCACGCGCUUCCACCUUACGGAGCUGGCACGCGAGAAGCCGAAGGUGCCGUCGCAGUUCACUCUAAAGCUGCGCAAACACAUCCGCGCCUGGCGGCUCGACAGCAUCGCGCAGCUCCAGCAUGACCGCACGAUCGACCUCUGCUUCGGUGUUCCGUCGACAGAGGGCUGCUUUCACAUUAUUGUGGAGCUCUUCUCGAAGGGCAACGUGAUUCUGACGGACUACGCGUACACGAUAAUGAUGCUGCUCCGAACGCACCGCGACGACGAGGGGCUCAAGCUGAUGGUGAAUCAAGUCUACCCCGUAACGGCCCCCUUUGUUGCCGCCGUGGCAGCCGAGUCGGCGGAGGCGCAGGAGGUCGAUACUGCCACGGUUGUAUCCGCGGCGGCUUCGGUGGCGAGGACAGCUGCGGCGGCAGCGGAGGAGCCGCAUAUGUUCCUCUACCCUCCGCACGUGGACGCCUCUGGCCACCUGCACGUGCAGCACACCGCUGACGCUGACCUCACACUGGCCCAACGACAGCUGAAGGAAGAGCGCACGCGGUUGAUGAAGGUGGACUGGGAAGUGGGGCUCAGCCGCAGCAACGACCGCACUGUCGUGCAAACCUUGGUGGCGGGCAUUCAGCACUUUGGACCUGACCUGGCGCAGCACGUGCUCACCGUCACAGGCGUGCUGAAAACGCCGCGGAAGAGCUGGACGCAGUCGGCGGACAACGUUUUCGAAGCGUUGCGCCCCGGUCUGUUGGAGGCCUUUGACCUCGCCAAGGUCGACCUCACCUCCGCCGGCGGCUACCUCAUCAAGCCAAAGGCGAAGCCCGCCAGUACAGCGCAUACCCCAGCGCCACCAGCGCCAGGCGCCUCCGCCGCUGCAGCCGACCUCGUCGCCGUCGCGGAGCAGUACGAAAGCUUCACACCCAUCUUGCUCGCCCAGUACACAAACGACGGGGUGGAGGCGCUCUACCGCACCAGCUUCGGCCGCGUUUGUGAUGAGUUUUUCCUCAUCACAGAGACGGAGCGCAUCGACGCGUCGAAUGCGAAGCGCACGAAAACUGCCAAGAGCAAGGAGGACAAGUUCGCGGCCGAUCACGCACGUCGCAUCAACGCACUCGAGACAGACAUCGCGGCUAACCAGAUGAAGGGCGAGCAGCUCAUCUUGAACGCGGACCGCGUUGACGAGGCGAUCCAGCUGAUCAACGGUGCCCUGGCAACGGGCAUCUCGUGGGAUGCCUUGCGCAUGCUCCUGAAGCGGCGCCACGCUGAGGGGCACCCGGUGGCGUACAUGAUACAUGACCUCUUCCUCGAGCGUAACUCCAUUAGCGUCCUACUCGAGACGGUGCUGGACGAGGAGAAGGGCGAGGAGGACUGCGAUGUGCCGCCGCUCGUGGUCGAGGUGACGCUGUCCAAGACGGCGCACGCGAACGCGGCGGACUACUUCAGCAAGCAGAAGCAACACCGCUCGAAGCUGGAGCGCACCGUUGCGGCGACCGAAAAGGCCGCGGCGGGGGCGGCGCGCAAGGGCGCACGCAAGGCGGCGGCUCAAAAAGAGAAGAAGGUGAUCGUCAAGGAGCGACAGCGCAACUGGUGGGAAAAGUUCUUCUGGUUCCGCACAACCGCGGGCGACCUCGUGCUGCGUGGAAAGGAUGUGCAGUCGACGGAGCUGCUGGUGCGGCGCGUAAUGCGCCUUGGAGACCUCUUCAUCCACUGCGAUGUGGAUGGGUCCCUGCCGUGCCUGCUGAGGCCCAUGAACGACGUCUGGCAGGAGCUCGGUGGCAACAACGCAGGCGGAGACCUCACCGCCUCGCCGGCGACUCAGCCGGUGGCCCUGCACAGCGUGUGUGAAGCAGGUGCGUGGUGUGUCGCCUUCAGCGGCGCAUGGGAGCGCAAGCAGACGACUGGCUCGUGGUGGGUGUACGCGUCGCAGGUGACGGGCGGGACGGCCACUGGCGCGUAUCUCUACGCCGGAGAGCGGCACCACCUGCCGCCUCAGUCGAUGUCGCUCGGGUGCGCGCUGCUCUUCUACGUCGCACGCACCGUGCGUGAGCCGGCGGCGGUCGCACGGGCUGAAAGCGCUGCCUCUGUCGACAAUGACGACGAAGGGCCAGAGCACGUAGAGGACGACGCCGUCGACUCGUUCACGGUGCUGCGGCGUGAGCUGCCGAGCUUCCUGGCGUCGCCCGCCGACGCCGGCCAGCCAAGUGGCGCCGGAGAAGCAGUCGUGCCCGCUGAUGCGGCGGCUGCGCUUGUCGAACUGCCCUCCGUGGAGACCCUUCGUGCGGAGCAGCGCAAGCAGCGAAACUUGUUUGUGGCAGGUGGCUGUAAUUCUUCUGGCGGUGGCCGCGUGGAUGGGCGCCAAAAGAAGGGCAAGGCAGCGAAGAAGGGCGGGGCGCGAAACUCACGUGUCGACCGCGCAGGUCUGCAGGGCACGCCGGCUGCAACCAUCGCCUUCCUUCCAUCCUCGGCUAUGGAAGACGGUGCAGCCGCGGCGGUGGCGGCGACGGCCACGCAGAAGGGCAGCGCCCAGGGCAGAAAUCUCACAAAGCAUCAGAAGAAGAAGCUGAAGAAGAUUCAGGACAAAUACGGCGACCAGGACGAUGAGGAUCGCAUGCUUGGGGCGCAGGUGAACGGGAACCAGCUCUCCCGCGUGCAGCUGCUGGAGCUGCAGCGACGCGCCGAGCAACGUCAGGAGGCGGAACAGGCCAAGCGCACACAUGAGAAGGCAAACCUCUCUGCUCAACGCGUGUUUUGCACGCCGCAGUACCGCUCCCUCGGCAAUGAUAACGGGCAGGAAGACGCGGAAGAGGAAGAGGAAGGGGAAGACGUCGAGGUAGUGUCUGAGUUUACGGACGAUGGCAAAGAGGCGGAGACGAACGUCGCGGUGGUCGGCGCGGCGGCGGCGGCGGAGGCGGGCGGCUCCGACGAGGAGGACGAGCACGCAGCGGCGGUCGAAGAGGCCGGUGGCGGCUGUGAGACUGAGGAAGAGGAAGAGGCGACGGAGGCUGGCGCUGUCGCCUCGACAGCAGCGCGGUCGCGCAACGACCGCGACGCGGCGAUUGUUCAGCAGUCCGCCGAGCUCAAUCGUGCCUUCCCGCACUACACCAUGCGACCCGGCCCAAUGGACACCGUGCAGCACGUCGUGGUUGUCUGCGCGCCAACGAUCGCCGUGAGCGAGUACGCCUACCACGCCACGCUGUGCAUGGGAAAUGCCAAGAAAGGCGCGCUGGCGGCGAAGCUUCUUCAACUGUUCACGGCACGUGCAGAGCAGGGUGAAGCUGGAGCUGACGGCACCUCGACAGGCGUCAGUGCAGUCUCCCCUGGCGCACAAGGGAGUAAGGCAAAGAAAACGGCAGCGAAGAAGGGAAGUGGUGGAGCGCCAACAGACUGCCCCCGCUCACCAUCAUGGGCGCCGUCGCCUGCUGCAGCCACUGUGAAUCCCUCCGUGGUGAAGGCGCUGCAGAUGAUGAGCACCAACGAUGUCGUGGAGCAGCUGCGAGCCAACGUGAAGCCAAUCGAGUUCCACCUGUGAACUGCGCACUCAGGUGGAGAAGAGAGAGCCGGUAAGGAUUCAAAAGAAGGAAAGGGGGCGAACAGUUCGGUGUGCGCGCAUGCACGUUGGCCGGGAGCAGCCCUCCCCACAUGCCCCCCGAUCGUACUCUGUGUCGCUUCUCGGCCUCGCACUCUUCUCGCUUGGGUCAUAGGUGUAGGUUUGUAUGUUUUGAUGGGGUGCGCAGAAACUCCACUGUAGCACCCUCCGCUCUUGAGGUGGUGGCUGGCCCUCUCACGCGCAUACACACACACACCGCCUCUUCUGUUACGCAUAUUUCGCUACUCAUCAUUGAUCGCCGUUCCCACCACCACCGCCGCCCCAACCGGCUGUCUGUGGCACAGAAGCGCACCCGACGCCUCUAACACGCAUGCAUCAUGAAAG
Molecule: unclassified non-coding RNA, 4118 nt
Filed under: Leishmania donovani
Lineage: Eukaryota; Euglenozoa; Kinetoplastea; Trypanosomatida; Trypanosomatidae
Description: gene:LdHU3.09.1160(CDS-product:translation-associ ated_element_2_putative)
Source: RNAcentral